AGAGUUUGAUCCUGGCUCAGGAUGAACGCUGGCGGCGUGCCUAACACAUGCAAGUCGAACGAAGCUUGACGGAUGAUUUCUUCGGAAUGAAACCUGAUAUGACUUAGUGGCGGACGGGUGAGUAACACGUGAGCAACCUGCCUUUCAGAGGGGGAUAACGGCUGGAAACGGUCGCUAAUACCGCAUGAUGUGUUCGGAUGGCAUCAUCUGAACAUCAAAGAUUUAUCGCUGAAAGAUGGGCUCGCGUCUGAUUAGAUAGUUGGUGGGGUAACGGCCUACCAAGUCGACGAUCAGUAGCCGGACUGAGAGGUUGAACGGCCACAUUGGGACUGAGAUACGGCCCAGACUCCUACGGGAGGCAGCAGUGGGGAAUAUUGCACAAUGGGGGAAACCCUGAUGCAGCAACGCCGCGUGAAGGAUGACGGUUUUCGGAUUGUAAACUUCUUUUCUUAGUGACGAAGACAGUGACGGUAGCUAAGGAAUAAGCAUCGGCUAACUACGUGCCAGCAGCCGCGGU
Molecule: ribosomal RNA, 517 nt
Filed under: uncultured bacterium
Lineage: Bacteria
Description: bacterial SSU rRNA
Rfam family: Bacterial small subunit ribosomal RNA
Source: RNAcentral